Molecule: long non-coding RNA, 358 nt
Filed under: Homo sapiens (human)
Lineage: Eukaryota; Metazoa; Chordata; Mammalia; Primates; Hominidae
Description: non-protein coding lnc-ZNF536-8:3
Source: RNAcentral
UCUUCCGGGCCUUUCUGUGAGCUCAUUAGAGGAAGGGGUCUGGUGACUGAUAUUUCUAUUUUCCCUGUUAGUAGCGACUGGAAUUUGCACCAUCCAGGUCAGAUGGAAAAUAGAAGGCGGGAAAAUCUGACAGUCUCAUUGAUUUGCUCUCUUUGCCAUCACCACUCUUGAGAGGAAGAAAUGUGACUUCAAACUUGCAAUUAGGAACCAGCCUGCUAAGGAGUCCUCUCGUGAGCUCCUGUGCUAUGCGGAGCACAGGCCCAUCUCAUCUCAUUUCCUAAGGAGGUAGGUUCAUUCAUGGUUUCAGCAGGAGCAGGCAGUGCAAACGUGUGACACCCGCCCGCAAAUAACUGCCAGA